This is a long non-coding RNA of Ictalurus punctatus (channel catfish), 3821 nucleotides long. NCBI's taxonomy places the organism in Eukaryota, Metazoa, Chordata, Actinopteri, Siluriformes, Ictaluridae. The record is from Ensembl.
GACGGGGGUAACAGAUCGCUGGAGCCUCUACGUGGCUAGUACGAUUAGCUAGCAUUGCUAAUCUGACAGCGUAGCUAGUACAAUGCCGAGCAUGUAAUGUUUUAAAAAAACAAAAAAGACAAGAAAAAACCUUUUUUUUUUCUUUCUUUCUUCUUUUUUUUUUAAACACAGAUGUUAAGUUUGAUUAUUUAGCUUUAGGUAGUUUCUAUAGCUACUACCAUUUCUCAUCGAACGUUAAAAAGAAAGAAAAAAAAAACUCACUAAAGGCCACGCCCACAGUCGGGAAAACUUCUCGCCCGUCCGUGUGAACGUAGGUUUGUUUGUACAGAUCAAUUCUUUCACAGCGUUCACGUUAGACACACAUUGGUGGGGUUGUUUUUUUUUUUUUUUUUUGUCUGUGUGUUUGUUUUUUUUUCCGUCAAGUCGGAAUUCCCCGUGUCUCUGUUUAGUAUUUUGUCGCGAUACAAAGACGUCGUUUGACAAAAAGUCGUCGCUUAAACAUCCGUGCAAUCCGGAGACGGGUCGAAAUUUGACACUGUAUACGAGGUCCAUCAUGAAUGUAGUUGCAUGCACUGAGUUAAUACGUUUAUUCUAUUUUUUUUUUUUGAAGUGAAAAAACAAAACAAAACCCUGUCGCCUGACUUUAAAGCAUCGUGCCUUUUUCGCCAUAAUGGUUAACGCCGGACCGAUUGAUUGGCUGCUUUCUGUCGGAGGAACGUUUAUUACAUUCGUGGCGGAUCUCCAGGAUGUGACGUAGGUGUGUGAGUCUGCGUGUGAGGUCUGAGGUGUGAACUUUCCCCCUGACUAUCUCCUGUUUUUCAGAAAAAACAUUGGAAGCAGUAACUGAAAUACCUCGUGUUUUAUUUUAAUUUUUUUUCCAUUAGGAUCAAAACGGUAUAUCAAGGCAUUUUUGAGUGAUUUGGGGGGGGGGGCACUUCUGUAUCCUUUCAAACACGUCACUAACAAAUCUCAGUCUUCACUUACUGACUUACACACACUGACCAGGUAGAUUUUUAGUUCAGUGACCAAAUCAGAGCUUAUGUGUAUAUGGUGAAGAAGAAAGGGGGGGGGAGGGGAAGUCAGUGUGCGUUGUUACUUGAUUUUUUUUUCUUCUUUCUUUUCCCUCCGCCUUUCUUCCUUCUCUCGUGAUGUCUUGGGACUUUUUUUUUCCUGUACAUAUUGAGGGCUUUUAAGAUGCAUCUAUCCUUUUCACCUUUUUUGUUUCUCUUUUUUUUCUUUUUAAACAUAUUGACCCCUUUUUCUAAUCUAAAAUCCUACACAGUGAUCAGUCUAAUUUAAUAACGUCCCUGUUUGAUUGUUUAUUCAGAAGAAAAUGUAUUAUCUGCUGCCUGUAUAUUGUAUAUAACUUGUAAAAGAUGACGGUGGGGGGGGGGAAUCAAAAAUCAAAUAAACUCCAAUUUGAAGACGUGCGGAGAUUAGUUAGGGGGCUGUACUUGUAUACAAGUGUAAAGAAUCAAAGUGCAUUUCUUUUUUCCUUUUGUUUUCUUCUCUGUUUGAUUUGCUAAUCACGUAGAUAGUGGUCAGAAUGUCGGUGGUUUGAUGCACUACUGAAAUGAGGUUUCGCAAUAUGAUGAAGGGACGGAUGAUGAUGAUGAUGAUGAUGCAUGCGCCGCAUCACCACCCUAACCCUCCUCACGCUUAGCUUUCUAUCAACGAAUCACCUUCAGGUCACUGUUGGCAUCGUCAUUACUUUUACAUGACUAGGAAACGACCAUUUCACUCGUAUGCCCAUAUAAUGUAUAUUAUAUUUUAUUUUCCCGUAAGUUCACCUCAGUGAAAGAUGCGCACUGAUUUUUUUCACGUUGGAGAGAGAUGAUUAACACCACACACAUUUCUGAUUGUUCUGUUCAUUCUCCGAGAUGCGGGUCUUCGAGUACCGGACCGAUCGAAGCUGUUACUGUGUCUUAAAUGUUUCUCUCCAUCCAUUUACUCGAUGAGGUGUAUGACUAAAAGGGGACUGGAGAACAAAAAGAAGGCGAGGAGGAAUACAAUCAGGCCCUAUGCUGCUUUUUAUGCUUGUUCUAUUCACUUAGCUCAAGUGUGUGUGUGUGUGUGUGUGUGUGUGUGUGUGUGUGUAGCGUGUUGCCGGAGAGGAGGAUCCGAGACUGAGCGAGUUGCCUUCCUGCACCUUUUCCUAACACCCCUCCCCCCGUCUGUUAAACAUCUUUUUUGUGUGUUGUUUCGGCUGCAAUGUUUGUUUUUGUUUGUUUGUUUUGUUUUUUUUCCGACUGCAUGUGGAAAAACCCUGAUUGUAAAUAUUUGUCAUUUUUACUCUUUCUGUAAAAAAAAAAAAAAAAAAAAAGAAAGAAGAAGGAAAAGAAGAACUUCCUGUCGAUGCAAGAGAAGAGAAGAUGCGAUUCUUUAAAGUUCCCCCCACAUCCAUCGUGUACCUUCUUUGGAGAAUCGUGUAACGGAAUUAAAACCCCACGCGCGGCGUUUCACCCCGUCUGAAAGAGUCGUUUAUCGCACACUUGGACGAUUCUCUCCUCCAUCCGUAUCCCCUGUUCGUUUAAAUAAAUAAAUAAAUCGAUAAUUUUUGGACUCUGAUCUUUACGGGGGCUUCUUUUUUACGCUCGCUGUCCAUCACGUUGUCCAAGUGUGUAGAGGAUGAUGAGGGUGGUGGUGGUGGUGGUGGUGGUGGUGAGGAUGAUGGGAGGGCUUGGGUGUACUUCAUACGUGCUGACGUUUUUUUUUUUGUUGUUGUUUCGUUUGUUUGUUUCCCCUCAUCGAUAAGUUUGACAUGCUGAACUGAAUCAGUGUCCCGUGUCUUCAAGGAGUGAGUGAGCGAGCGAGCGAGUGCUGGACUGAAAAUAAUUCAUGAUGAUGAAUGAAAAACUUGUAAUCUACUACAAUGGGAUAUUUUAGACUUAUGCUGUGUAUAAUUGUCUUUGGGUUGGAGAAAAUGACCAAGAGAAAUAAAACAUUUUAAAAAAGUCAAAACUAACAUGGCCAUUUAUUUAUUUAUUUAUUUAUUUAUGGAAGUAAUGAAUUAUUUGUAUUACCAUUGUUUACCAGUUUUUACUUUUAUUAUUCUUCUUCUUACUGUAGUUACUUUAUCACAAUAUAUUAAGAUAUUUCUAUAUUACUAAUCUGACAUCUUUGUUAAUAUGCGUACGGUAAUUAUUGUUUCUAUUAGUAGUACUGAAUGUGCGUUGAAUACCUGAGCCGUGUUUUUCUAAGAACGUUGGGAGCGGAGUUGCUAUGACGACGGGAACUGUAACGUUACUGUAAUUACAUUGCUAUUAAUACUUGUUUAUUAUUAUUAGUAGUAGUAAUUGAUUGUUUAGUACUACAAUUAUAGCUACCAUUUUAGUACUACAUCUUUCUACAUUCAUCACUGUUAUGGUUAGGAUUGCUGCUAUUAUUAGUAUUAUGAAAUGAUUACUAUUUUUAAUAGUUAUUAGAUAAUUAGUGCAUAAUGAUUAUUAUUGCGCCUGCUAUUUUUAUUACUCUUAUUUUUACUAUGUAUUAUUUUUUACUAUUGCUAUUCUGACAUUAUUAUUAUUAUUAUUAUUAUUAUUGUUUUCACUUUAUUAUUAGUAGUAGUAGUAGUAAUGUUUUUAAUAUUGCUAUUAUUAAUAUUGACCAUUUUAGUGCUAAAUUUUUCAGCUAGUACUAUUUUCUCAUUUUUAUUUGUUAGGAUUUUUCUUAUUUUAUUUUUCUGAUUCUAAAAUGAAUCAUGCGGACCGAACCAUGAGUCGUAGAGACAUGAAAACUGGUCAACAGGUAGUACUCCCUCCCGCUGCUCAAGCGAGUGAGCCGGACCUGAUUGGCCCAACGGCAGAGUUUGGGUCGUGGUC